Molecule: ribosomal RNA, 495 nt
Filed under: uncultured bacterium
Lineage: Bacteria
Description: bacterial SSU rRNA
Rfam family: Bacterial small subunit ribosomal RNA
Source: RNAcentral
GAUCAUGGCUCAGAUUGAACGCUGCGGCAUGCCUUACACAUGCAAGGUCGAACGGCAGCACGGGGCAACCUGGUGGCGAGUGGCGAACGGGUGAGUAAUGCAUCGGAACGUGCCAUUGAGUGGGGGGUAACGUAGCGAAAGUUACGCUAAUACCGCAUAUUCUGUGAGCAGGAAAGCAGGGGAUCGCAAGACCUUGCGCUCUUUGAGCGGCCGAUGUCAGAUUAGCUAGUUGGUGAGGUAACGGCUUACCAAGGCGACGAUCUGUAGCGGGUCUGAGAGGAUGAUCCGCCACACUGGAACUGAGACACGGUCCAGACUCCUACGGGAGGCAGCAGUGGGGAAUUUUGGACAAUGGGGGCAACCCUGAUCCAGCCAUGCCGCGUGAGUGAAGAAGGCCUUCGGGUUGUAAAGCUCUUUCGGCCGGGAAGAAAUCGCAUGGGUUAAUACCCUGUGUGGAUGACGGUACCGGCAUAAGAAGCACCGGCUAACUACGUG